RNAcentral lists this ribosomal RNA (374 nucleotides) under uncultured bacterium. Its description in RNAcentral is "bacterial SSU rRNA". It matches the Rfam family "Bacterial small subunit ribosomal RNA", at positions 527 to 898 of the family's 1533-position model. The record is from RNAcentral.
GUAGGGCGCGAGCGUUGUCCGGAUUUAUUGGGCGUAAAGAGCUCGUAGGCGGCUUGUCGCGUCGACUGUGAAAACCCGCAGCUCAACUGCGGGCCUGCAGCCGAUACGGGCAGGCUAGAGUUCGGUAGGGGAGACUGGAAUUCCUGGUGUAGCGGUGAAAUGCGCAGAUAUCAGGAGGAACACCGGUGGCGAAGGCGGGUCUCUGGGCCGAUACUGACGCUGAGGAGCGAAAGCGUGGGGAGCGAACAGGAUUAGAUACCCUGGUAGUCCACGCUGUAAACGUUGGGCGCUAGGUGUGGGGGGCCUCUCCGGUUCUCUGUGCCGCAGCUAACGCAUUAAGCGCCCCGCCUGGGGAGUACGGCCGCAAGGCUAAA